GGGCACGACACCGGAGAGGGAGCCUGAGAAACGGCUACCACANCCAAGGAUGGCAGCAGGCGCGCAAAUUACCCAAUCCCGACACGGGGAGGUAGUGACAAUAAAUAACAAUACGGGGUUCUUUCGGAUCUCGUAAUUGGAAUGAGUACAAUUUAAAUCUCUUAACGAGGAACAAUAGGAGGGCAAGUCUGGUGCCAGCAGCCGCGGUAAUUCCAGCUCCAAUAGCGUAUAUUAAAGUUGUUGCAGUUAAAAAGCUCGUAGUUGAAUUUCGGGGUUAGUAGGUUGGUCAUGCCUCUGGUAUGUACUGGUCUCACUGAUGCCUCCUUCCUGAUGAACCGUAAUGCCAUUAAUUUGGUGUUGCGGGGAAUUUGGACUGUUACUUUGAAAAAAUUAGAGUGUUUAAAGCAAGCUAACGCUUGAAUACAUUAGCAUGGAAUAAUGAAAUAGGACGUUCGAUCCUAUUUUGUUGGUUUCUAGGAUUGACGUAAUGAUUAAUAGGGAUAGUUGGGGGCAUUAGUAUUCAAUUGUCAGAGGUGAAAUUCUUGGAUUUAUUGAAGACUAACUACUGCGAAAGCAUUUGCCAAGGAUGUUUUCAUUAAUCAAGAACGAAAGUUAGGGGAUCGAAGACGAUCAGAUACCGUCGUAGUCUUAACCAUAAACUAUGCCGACUAGGGAUCGGAUGAUGUUAAUUUUUUAAUGACUCAUUCGGCGCCUUACGGGAAACCAAAGU
Molecule: ribosomal RNA, 730 nt
Filed under: uncultured Glomeromycotina
Lineage: Eukaryota; Fungi; Glomeromycota
Description: SSU rRNA
Rfam family: Eukaryotic small subunit ribosomal RNA
Source: RNAcentral